This 64-nucleotide transfer RNA is filed under the name Kikihia muta. RNAcentral describes it as "tRNA-Pro". Lineage: Eukaryota; Metazoa; Arthropoda; Insecta; Hemiptera; Cicadidae. The record is from RNAcentral.
CAGAAAAUAAUUUAAAUAUAAAAUAUAAACUUUGGGAGUUUAAAAUGAUCAUUAUCUUUUCUGA